Molecule: non-coding RNA, 92 nt
Organism: Pteropus alecto (black flying fox)
Lineage: Eukaryota; Metazoa; Chordata; Mammalia; Chiroptera; Pteropodidae
Source: Rfam
AUCACCUGAACAUUUUGUUAAAAUGCAGAUUCCAAUUCAGUAUUCUGGGGCCUGAGAUUCUGCAUUUCUAACAAGCUCCAAAGUAUUGCCAA